UGCAAGUCGAACGCGUUGGCCCAAUUGAUUGAUGGUGCUUGCACCUGAUUGAUUUUGGUCGCCAACGAGUGGCGGACGGGUGAGUAACACGUAGGUAACCUGCCCAGAAGCGGGGGACAACAUUUGGAAACAGAUGCUAAUACCGCAUAACAGCGUUGUUCGCAUGAACAACGCUUAAAAGAUGGCUUCUCGCUAUCACUUCUGGAUGGACCUGCGGUGCAUUAGCUUGUUGGUGGGGUAACGGCCUACCAAGGCGAUGAUGCAUAGCCGAGUUGAGAGACUGAUCGGCCACAAUGGGACUGAGACACGGCCCAUACUCCUACGGGAGGCAGCAGUAGGGAAUCUUCCACAAUGGGCGCAAGCCUGAUGGAGCAACACCGCGUGAGUGAAGAAGGGUUUCGGCUCGUAAAGCUCUGUUGUUAAAGAAGAACACGUAUGAGAGUAACUGUUCAUACGUUGACGGUAUUUAACCAGAAAGUCACGGCUAACUACGUGCCAGCAGCCGCGGUAAUACGUAGGUGGCAAGCGUUAUCCGGAUUUAUUGGGCGUAAAGAGAGUGCAGGCGGUUUUCUAAGUCUGAUGUGAAAGCCUUCGGCUUAACCGGAGAAGUGCAUCGGAAACUGGAUAACUUGAGUGCAGAAGAGGGUAGUGGAACUCCAUGUGUAGCGGUGGAAUGCGUAGAUAUAUGGAAGAACACCAGUGGCGAAGGCGGCUACCUGGUCUGCAACUGACGCUGAGACUCGAAAGCAUGGGUAGCGAACAGGAUUAGAUACCCUGGUAGUCCAUGCCGUAAACGAUGAGUGCUAGGUGUUGGAGGGUUUCCGCCCUUCAGUGCCGGAGCUAACGCAUUAAGCACUCCGCCUGGGGAGUACGACCGCAAGGUUGAAACUCAAAGGAAUUGACGGGGGCCCGCACAAGCGGUGGAGCAUGUGGUUUAAUUCGAAGCUACGCGAAGAACCUUACCAGGUCUUGACAUCUUGCGCCAACCCUAGAGAUAGGGCGUUUCCUUCGGGAACGCAAUGACAGGUGGUGCAUGGUCGUCGUCAGCUCGUGUCGUGAGAUGUUGGGUUAAGUCCCGCAACGAGCGCAACCCUUGUUACUAGUUGCCAGCAUUAAGUUGGGCACUCUAGUGAGACUGCCGGUGACAAACCGGAGGAAGGUGGGGACGACGUCAGAUCAUCAUGCCCCUUAUGACCUGGGCUACACACGUGCUACAAUGGACGGUACAACGAGUCGCGAACUCGCGAGGGCAAGCAAAUCUCUUAAAACCGUUCUCAGUUCGGACUGCAGGCUGCAACUCGCCUGCACGAAGUCGGAAUCGCUAGUAAUCGCGGAUCAGCAUGCCGCGGUGAAUACGUUCCCGGGCCUUGUACACACCGCCCGUCACACCAUGAGAGUUUGUAACACCCAAAGUCGGUGGGGUAACCUUUAGGAGCCAGCCGC
RNAcentral lists this ribosomal RNA (1443 nucleotides) under Limosilactobacillus fermentum. RNAcentral's name for it is "bacterial SSU rRNA". It matches the Rfam family "Bacterial small subunit ribosomal RNA". The record is from RNAcentral. Lineage: Bacteria; Bacillati; Bacillota; Bacilli; Lactobacillales; Lactobacillaceae.